AUCGCUUCUCGGCCUUUUGGCUAAGAUCAAGUGUAGUAUCUGUUCUUAUCAGUUUAAAAGAGUGCACAUUAUCCAUUAUUUCAUGGAUAUAAUUACAUGCCAUUUGAUGGCUGCAUCAUCAUAAUUGCUAGUUUAUAUAGAAUAUUCUAAAAAUUAAAAAUCAC
This 164-nucleotide small nuclear RNA is filed under the name Canis lupus familiaris (dog). Its description in RNAcentral is "U2 spliceosomal RNA (multiple genes)". It matches the Rfam family "U2 spliceosomal RNA". Rfam says of the family: U2 is a small nuclear RNA (snRNA) component of the spliceosome (involved in pre-mRNA splicing). Complementary binding between U2 snRNA (in an area lying towards the 5' end but 3' to hairpin I) and the branchpoint sequence (BPS) of the intron results the bulging out of an unpaired adenosine, on the BPS, which initiates a nucleophilic attack at the intronic 5' splice site, thus starting the first of two transesterification reactions that mediate splicing. The record is from Rfam by way of RNAcentral. RNAcentral also lists the same sequence under 1 other name. Lineage: Eukaryota; Metazoa; Chordata; Mammalia; Carnivora; Canidae.